RNAcentral lists this long non-coding RNA (7462 nucleotides) under Xyrichtys novacula (pearly razorfish). Lineage: Eukaryota; Metazoa; Chordata; Actinopteri; Labriformes; Labridae. The record is from RNAcentral.
UAGGGUUGGAGUUAGGGUUAGUGUUGGACCUAGGGUUAGGGUUGGGCUUGGAGCUAGGAUUUUUCUGAGUGCAAUGAACCAACUCCCGAGUCUCUAGGACGUUCCUAAACAAAUUUGAUUUUUUCCCAUAGGAAUGCAUGGGUUAGGGUUAGGGUUAGGGUUGGAGCUAGGGUUAGGGUUAGGGUUAGGGUUGGAGUUAGGGUUAGUGUUGGAGCUAGGGUUAGGGUUGGGCUUGGAGCUAGGAUUUUUCUGAGUGCAAUGAACCAACUCCCGAGUCUCUAGGACGUUCCUAAAAAAUUUGAUUUUUUCCCAUAGGAAUGCAUGGGUUAGGGUUAGGGUUAGGGUUGGAGCUAGGGUUAGGGUUAGGGUUAGGGUUGGAGUUAAGGUUAGUGUUGGAGCUAGGGUUAGGGUUGGGCUUGGAGCUAGGAUUUUUCUGAGUGCAAUGAACCAACUCCCGAGUCUCUAGGACGUUCCUAAAAAAAAUUGAUUUUUUCCCAUAGGAAUGCAUGGGUUAGGGUUAUGGUUAGGGUUAGGGUUGGAGCUAGGGUUAGGGUUAGGGUUAGGGUUGGAGUUAGGGUUAGUGUUGGAGCUAGGGUUAGGGUUGGGCUUGGAGCUAGGAUUUUUCUGAGUGCAAUGAACCAACCCCCGAGUCUCUAGGACGUUCCUAAAAAAAUUUGAUUUUUUCCCAUAGGAAUGCAUGGGUUAGGGUUAUGGUUAGGGUUAGGGUUGGAGCUAGGGUUAGGGUUAGGGUUAGGGUUGGAGUUAGGGUUAGUGUUGGAGCUAGGGUUAGGGUUGGGCUUGGAGCUAGGAUUUUUCUGAGUGCAAUGAACCAACUCCCGAGUCUCUAGGACGUUCCUAAAAAAAUUUGAUUUUUUUCCCCNNNNNNNNNNNNNNNNNNNNNNNNNNNNNNNNNNNNNNNNNNNNNNNNNNNNNNNNNNNNNNNNNNNNNNNNNNNNNNNNNNNNNNNNNNNNNNNNNNNNNNNNNNNNNNNNNNNNNNNNNNNNNNNNNNNNNNNNNNNNNNNNNNNNNNNNNNNNNNNNNNNNNNNNNNNNNNNNNNNNNNNNNNNNNNNNNNNNNNNNGUCUCUGAGGACAUUCCUAAAAAAAAUUUGAUUUUUCCCAUAGGAAUGCAUGGAGUUGGGGUUAGGGUUAGGGUUGGAGCUAGGGUUAGGGUUAGGGUUGGGGUUGGAGUUAGGGUUAGUGUUGGAGCUAGGGUUAGGGUUGGGCUUGGAGCUAGGAUUUUUCUGAGUGCAAUGAACCAACUCCCGAGUCUCUAGGACGUUCCUAAAAAAAUUUGAUUUUUUCCCAUAGGAAUGCAUGGGUUAGGGUUAGGGUUAGGGUUGGAGCUAGGGUUAGGGUUAGGGUUAGGGUUGGAGUUAGGGUUAGUGUUGGAGCUAGGGUUAGGGUUGGGCUUGGAGCUAGGAUUUUUCUGAGUGCACUGAACCAACUCCCGAGUCUCUAGGACGUUCCUAAAAAAAUUUGAUUUUUUUCCCAUAGGAAUGCAUGGGUUAGGGUUAUGGUUAGGGUUGGAGCUAGGGUUAGGGUUAGGGUUAGGGUUGGAGUUAGGGUUAGUGUUGGAGCUAGGGUUAGGGUUGGGCUUGGAGCUAGGAUUUUUCUGAGUGCACUGAACCAACUCCCGAGUCUCUAGGACGUUCCUAAAAAAAUUUGAUUUUUUCCCAUAGGAAUGCAUGGGUUAGGGUUAGGGUUAGGGUUGGAGCUAGGGUUAGGGUUAGGGUUAGGGUUGGAGUUAGGGUUAGUGUUGGAGCUAGGGUUAGGGUUGGGCUUGGAGCUAGGAUUUUUCUGAGUGCACUGAACCAACUCCCGAGUCUCUAGGACGUUCCUAAAAAAAAAUUUGAUUUUUUCCCAUAGGAAAUGCAUGGGUUAGGGUUAGGGUUAGGGUUGGAGCUAGGGUUAGGGUUAGGGUUAGGGUUGGAGUUAGGGUUAGUGUUGGAGCUAGGGUUAGGGUUGGGCUUGGAGCUAGGAUUUUUCUGAGUGCACUGAACCAACUCCCGAGUCUCUAGGACAUUCCUAAAAAAAUUUGAUUUUUUCCCAUAGGAAUGCAUGGGUUAGGGUUAUGGUUGGGGUUAGGGUUGGAGCUAGGGUUAGGGUUAGGGUUAGGGUUGGAGUUAGGGUUAGUGUUGGAGCUAGGGUUAGGGUUGGGCUUGGAGCUAGGAUUUUUCUGAGUGCACUGAACCAACUCCCGAGUCUCUAGGACAUUCCUAAAAAAAAUUGAUUUUUUCCCAUAGGAAUGCAUGGGUUAGGGUUAUGGUUAGGGUUAGGGUUGGAGCUAGGGUUAGGGUUAGGGUUAGGGUUGGAGUUAGGGUUAGUGUUGGAGCUAGGGUUAGGGUUGGGCUUGGAGCUAGGAUUUUUCUGAGUGCACUGAACCAACUCCCGAGUCUCUAGGACAUUCCUAAAAAAAUUUGAUUUUUCCCAUAGGAAUGCAUGGGUUAGGGUUAGGGUUAGGGUUGGAGCUAGGGUUAGGGUUAGGGUUAGGGUUGGAGUUAGGGUUAGUGUUGGAGCUAGGGUUAGGGUUGGGCUUGGAGCUAGGAUUUUUCUGAGUGCACUGAACCAACUCCCGAGUCUCUAGGACAUUCCUAAAAAAAUUUGAUUUUUUCCCAUAGGAAUGCAUGGGUUAGGGUUAGGGUUAGGGUUGGAGCUAGGGUUAGGGUUAGGGUUAGGGUUGGAGUUAGGGUUAGUGUUGGAGCUAGGGUUAGGGUUGGGCUUGGAGCUAGGAUUUUUCUGAGUGCACUGAACCAACUCCCGAGUCUCUAGGACAUUCCUAAAAAAAUUUGAUUUUUCCCAUAGGAAUGCAUGGGUUAGGGUUAUGGUUAGUUAGGGUUGGAGCUAGGGUUAGGGUUAGGGUUAGGGUUGGAGUUAGGGUUAGUGUUGGAGCUAGGGUUAGGGUUGGGCUUGGAGCUAGGAUUUUUCUGAGUGCAAUGAACCAACUCCCGAGUCUCUAGGACGUUCCUAAAAAAAUUUGAUUUUUUUCCCAUAGGAAUGCAUGGGUUAGGGUUAGGGUUAGGGUUAGGGUUGGAGCUAGGGUUAGGGUUAGGGUUAGGGUUGGAGUUAGGGUUAGUGUUGGAGCUAGGGUUAGGGUUGGGCUUGGAGCUAGGAUUUUUCUGAGUGCAAUGAACCAACUCCCGAGUCUCUAGGACGUUCCUAAAAAAAUUUGAUUUUUUCCCAUAGGAAUGCAUGGGUUAGGGUUAUGGUUAGGGUUAGGGUUGGAGCUAGGGUUAGGGUUAGGGUUAGGGUUGGAGUUAGGGUUAGUGUUGGAGCUAGGGUUAGGGUUGGGCUUGGAGCUAGGAUUUUCUGAGUGCAAUGAACCAACUCCCGAGUCUCUAGGACGUUCCUAAAAAAAUUUGAUUUUUUCCCAUAGGAAUGCAUGGGUUAGGGUUAGGGUUAGGGUUGGAGCUAGGGUUAGGGUUAGGGUUAGGGUUGGAGUUAGGGUUAGUGUUGGAGCUAGGGUUAGGGUUGGGCUUGGAGCUAGGAUUUUUCUGAGUGCAAUGAACCAACUCCCGAGUCUCUAGGACGUUCCUAAAAAAUUUGAUUUUUUCCCAUAGGAAUGCAUGGGUUAGGGUUAGGGUUAGGGUUAGGGUUGGAGCUAGGGUUAGGGUUAGGGUUAGGGUUGGAGUUAGGGUUAGUGUUGGAGCUAGGGUUAGGGUUGGGCUUGGAGCUAGGAUUUUCUGAGUGCACUGAACCAACUCCCGAGUCUCUAGGACAUUCCUAAAAAAAUUUGAUUUUUUCCCAUAGGAAUGCAUGGGUUAGGGUUAGGGUUAGGGUUAGGGUUGGAGCUAGGGUUAGGGUUAGGGUUAGGGUUGGAGUUAGGGUUAGUGUUGGAGCUAGGGUUAGGGUUGGGCUUGGAGCUAGGAUUUUUCUGAGUGCACUGAACCAACUCCCGAGUCUCUAGGACAUUCCUAAAAAAAUUUGAUUUUUCCCAUAGGAAUGCAUGGGUUAGGGUUAGGGUUAGGGUUGGAGCUAGGGUUAGGGUUAGGGUUGGAGUUAGGGUUAGUGUUGGAGCUAGGGUUAGGGUUGGGCUUGGAGCUAGGAUUUUUCUGAGUGCAAUGAACCAACUCCCGAGUCUCUAGGACGUUCCUAAAAAAUUUGAUUUUUUCCCAUAGGAAUGCAUGGGUUAGGGUUAGGGUUAGGGUUGGAGCUAGGGUUAGGGUUAGGGUUAGGGUUGGAGUUAGGGUUAGUGUUGGAGCUAGGGUUAGGGUUGGGCUUGGAGCUAGGAUUUUUCUGAGUGCACUGAACCAACUCCCGAGUCUCUAGGACGUUCCUAAAAAAAUUUGAUUUUUUCCCAUAGGAAUGCAUGGGUUAGGGUUAGGGUUAGGGUUAGGGUUGGAGCUAGGGUUAGGGUUAGGGUUAGGGUUGGAGUUAGGGUUAGUGUUGGAGCUAGGGUUAGGGUUGGGCUUGGAGCUAGGAUUUUUCUGAGUGCACUGAACCAACUCCCGAGUCUCUCUAGGAGGCGUUCCUAAAAAAUUUGAUUUUUUCCCAUAGGAAUGCAUGGGUUAGGGUUAGGGUUAGGGUUAGGGUUGGAGCUAGGGUUAGGGUUAGGGUUAGGGUUGGAGUUAGGGUUAGUGUUGGAGCUAGGGUUAGGGUUGGGCUUGGAGCUAGGAUUUUUCUGAGUGCAAUGAACCAACUCCCGAGUCUCUUGGACGUUCCUAAAAAAAUUUGAUUUUUUUCCCAUAGGAAUGCAUGGGUUAGGGUUAGGGUUAGGGUUGGAGCUAGGGUUAGGGUUAGGGUUAGGGUUGGAGUUAGGGUUAGUGUUGGAGCUAGGGUUAGGGUUGGGCUUGGAGCUAGGAUUUUUCUGAGUGCACUGAACCAACUCCCGAGUCUCUAGGACAUUCCUAAAAAAAUUUGAUUUUUUCCCAUAGGAAUGCAUGGGUUAGGGUUAGGGUUAGGGUUGGAGCUAGGGUUAGGGUUAGGGUUAGGGUUGGAGUUAGGGUUAGUGUUGGAGCUAGGGUUAGGGUUGGGCUUGGAGCUAGGAUUUUUCUGAGUGCACUGAACCAACUCCCGAGUCUCUAGGACAUUCCUAAAAAAAUUUGAUUUUUUCCCAUAGGAAUGCAUGGGUUAGGGUUAUGGUUAGGGUUAGGGUUGGAGCUAGGGUUAGGGUUAGGGUUAGGGUUGGAGUUAGGGUUAGUGUUGGAGCUAGGGUUAGGGUUGGGCUUGGAGCUAGGAUUUUUCUGAGUGCACUGAACCAACUCCCGAGUCUCUAGGACGUUCCUAAAAAAUUUGAUUUUUUCCCAUAGGAAUGCAUGGGUUAGGGUUAUGGUUAGGGUUAGGGUUGGAGCUAGGGUUAGGGUUAGGGUUAGGGUUGGAGUUAGGGUUAGUGUUGGAGCUAGGGUUAGGGUUGGGCUUGGAGCUAGGAUUUUUCUGAGUGCACUGAACCAACUCCCGAGUCUCUAGGACAUUCCUAAAAAAAUUUGAUUUUUUUCCCAUAGGAAUGCAUGGGUUAGGGUUAGGGUUAGGGUUGGAGCUAGGGUUAGGGUUAGGGUUAGGGUUGGAGUUAGGGUUAGUGUUGGAGCUAGGGUUAGGGUUGGGCUUGGAGCUAGGAUUUUUCUGAGUGCACUGAACCAACUCCCGAGUCUCUAGGACAUUCCUAAAAAAAAAUUUGAUUUUUUCCCAUAGGAAUGCAUGGGUUAGGGUUAUGGUUAGGGUUAGGGUUGGAGCUAGGGUUAGGGUUAGGGUUAGGGUUGGAGUUAGGGUUAGUGUUGGAGCUAGGGUUAGGGUUGGGCUUGGAGCUAGGAUUUUUCUGAGUGCACUGAACCAACUCCCGAGUCUCUAGGACAUUCCUAAAAAAAAAUUGAUUUUUUCCCAUAGGAAUGCAUGGGUUAGGGUUAUGGUUAGGGUUAGGGUUGGAGCUAGGGUUAGGGUUAGGGUUAGGGUUGGAGUUAGGGUUAGUGUUGGAGCUAGGGUUAGGGUUGGGCUUGGAGCUAGGAUUUUUCUGAGUGCAAUGAACCAACUCCCGAGUCUCUAGGACAUUCCUAAAAAAAUUUGAUUUUUUCCCAUAGGAAUGCAUGGGUUAGGGUUAGGGUUAGGGUUGGAGCUAGGGUUAGGGUUAGGGUUGGGUUGGAGUUAGGGUUAGUGUUGGAGCUAGGGUUAGGGUUGGGCUUGGAGCUAGGAUUUUUCUGAGUGCAAUGAACCAACUCCCGAGUCUCUAGGACAUUCCUAAAAAAAUUUGAUUUUUUCCCAUAGGAAUGCAUGGGUUAGGGUUAGGGUUAGGGUUGGAGCUAGGGUUAGGGUUAGGGUUAGGGUUGGAGUUAGGGUUAGUGUUGGAGCUAGGGUUAGGGUUGGGCUUGGAGCUAGGAUUUUUCUGAGUGCAAUGAACCAACUCCCGAGUCUCUAGGACAUUCCUAAAAAAAAAUUUGAUUUUUUCCCAUAGGAAUGCAUGGGUUAGGGUUAUGGUUAGGGUUAGGGUUGGAGCUAGGGUUAGGGUUAGGGUUAGGGUUGGAGUUAGGGUUAGUGUUGGAGCUAGGGUUAGGGUUGGGCUUGGAGCUAGGAUUUUUCUGAGUGCAAUGAACCAACUCCCGAGUCUCUAGGACGUUCUAAAAAAAAUUUGAUUUUUUCCCAUAGGAAUGCAUGGGUUAGGGUUAUGGUUAGGGUUAGGGUUGGAGCUAGGGUUAGGGUUAGGGUUAGGGUUGGAGUUAGGGUUAGUGUUGGAGCUAGGGUUAGGGUUGGGCUUGGAGCUAGGAUUUUUCUGAGUGCAAUGAACCAACUCCCGAGUCUCUAGGACGUUCCUAAAAAAAUUUGAUUUUUUCCCAUAGGAAUGCAUGGGUUAGGGUUAGGGUUAGGGUUGGAGCUAGGGUUAGGGUUAGGGUUAGGGUUGGAGUUAGGGUUAGUGUUGGAGCUAGGGUUAGGGUUGGGCUUGGAGCUAGGAUUUUUCUGAGUGCAAUGAACCAACUCCCGAGUCUCUAGGACGUUCCUAAAAAAAAAUUUGAUUUUUUCCCAUAGGAAUGCAUGGGUUAGGGUUAGGGUUAGGGUUGGAGCUAGGGUUAGGGUUAGGGUUAGGGUUGGAGUUAGGGUUAGUGUUGGAGCCAGGGUUAGGGUUGGGCUUGGAGCUAGGAUUUUUCUGAGUGCACUGAACCAACUCCCGAGUCUCUAGGACAUUCCUAAAAAAUUUGAUUUUUUUCCCAUAGGAAUGCAUGGGUUAGGGUUAGUGGUUAGGGUUAGGGUUGGAGCUAGGGUUAGGGUUAGGGUUAGGGUUGGAGUUAGGGUUAGUGUUGGAGCUAGGGUUAGGGUUGGGCUUGGAGCUAGGAUUUUUCUGAGUGCAAUGAACCAACCCCCGAGUCUCUAGGACGUUCCUAAAAAAAUUUGAUUUUUUCCCUAUAGGAAUGCAUGGGUUAGGGUUAGGGUUAGGGUUGGAGCUAGGGUUAGGGUUAGGGUUAGGGUUGGAGUUAGGGUUAGUGUUGGAGCUAGGGUUAGGGUUGGGCUUGGAGCUAGGAUUUUUCUGAGUGCAAUGAACCA